RNAcentral lists this small RNA (1177 nucleotides) under uncultured Chloroflexota bacterium. Its description in RNAcentral is "bacterial SSU rRNA". The stretch from base 1 to 475 matches the Rfam family "Bacterial small subunit ribosomal RNA", at positions 1045 to 1533 of the family's 1533-position model. Lineage: Bacteria; Bacillati; Chloroflexota. The record is from RNAcentral.
AUGGCUGUCGUCAGCUCGUGCCGUGAGGUGUUGGGUUAAGUCCCGCAACGAGCGCAACCCUCGGGGCUAGUUACCGUGUCUAGCCCGACUGCCGCGACAAACGCGGAGGAAGGUGGGGAUGACGUCAAGUCAGCACGGCUCUUACAUCCUGGGCGACACACACGCUACAAUGGACGCGACAAUAGGAUGCGAAGCCGCAAGGCGGAGCCAAUCCACCAAAGGCGUCCUCAGUUCAGAUCGGCGUCUGCAACCCGACGCCGUGAAGGCGGAGUUGCUAGUAACCGCGGGUCAGCACACCGCGGUGAAUACGUUCCCGGGCCUUGUACACACCGCCCGUCACGUCAUGAAAGCCGGCAACACCUGAAGCCGCUGGCCCAACGCGCAAGCGGGGGAGGCGUCGAGGGUGGGGCGGGUGAUUGGGACGAAGUCGUAACAAGGUAGCCGUAGCGGAAGCUGCGGCUGGAUCACCUCCUUUCUAGGGAGCCACCGCGCGCGGAGGCGGACCUCGUGACUGACGCGGCCCGCAACGGCUCCGUGCGUUGGUCAUCCCAGGUCGAUCGGACCCUGCCUGGUCUGAGGAGCAAUCCUCGGGACAGGGGGGGAUCUGUGAUCGGCUCUGCUUUCUGGUCACUCUUCACGGGGGAACGUGCCCUUGGGGAUCGGGCUGCCCGUCGUGUGAGCACCGCCACCCGAUCCCGUUGGGCCUUUAGCUCAGUUGGGUAGAGCGCAGUCCUGAUAAGACUGAGGUCUCUGGUUCGAGCCCAGAAAGGCCCACCUCCCGCUCCACUCGUGCGCAAUCACGAGGGGUGUGGGGUCCUGGGGAUGUAGCUCAACUGGGAGAGCGCCUCCCUUGCACGGAGGAGGCCGAGGGUUCGAAUCCCUUCAUCUCCACCUGGCGCGCUUGGGCAGGAAUGCCUGAGUGGCCUGUCUCCGCCCCGGUCGGACGGCUCUGGCAACGAGCGCCGUCAGCGGGGACGCACCUUGCCAAGUGAAGAUGGCACAGACAAGCAAGAAGAGGUCGCAAGAGCGAGGGCGCGCUGGUGCGCAAAGAGACACACAGCAGACGGUGAAUGCCCUGGCGAUGUGAGGCCGACGAAGGACGGAGCACGGCGCCGAAACGUGCGGGGGAGGAGCCUAGCAUCCUGAGAUCCCGCGCUGUCCGAAUGGGGAAACCCGG